Molecule: ribosomal RNA, 326 nt
Filed under: uncultured Chlorobiota bacterium
Lineage: Bacteria; Pseudomonadati; Chlorobiota
Description: bacterial SSU rRNA
Rfam family: Bacterial small subunit ribosomal RNA
Source: RNAcentral
GACGAACGCUGGCGGCGUGCUUAAUACAUGCAAGUCAACGACUUUUGAAGUAGCAAUAUUUCAGGAGGAGUGGCGCACGGGUGAGUAACACGUAGGCAAUCUACCUUUAGGACUGACACAACUCGUCGAAAGACGGGCUAAUAUCAGAUAAUGCAGCGGCUCCGCAUGGAGACAGUUGUUAAAGUACAAGCGCCUAAAGAUGAGCCUGCGGUCCAUUAGGUAGUUGGUAGAGUAAUAGCCUACCAAGCCAACGAUGGAUAGCUGGUCUGAGAGGAUGAUCAGCCACACUGGAACUGAGACACGGUCCAGACUCCUACGGGAGGCUG